This 75-nucleotide antisense RNA is filed under the name Streptomyces atratus. Its description in RNAcentral is "ASpks TB sRNA". It matches the Rfam family "ASpks TB sRNA". The record is from RNAcentral. Lineage: Bacteria; Bacillati; Actinomycetota; Actinomycetes; Kitasatosporales; Streptomycetaceae.
CUUGAUCGAGCCGAGCCACAGCGGCCGACCCUCCGGACGGUCCUGGCCGUACGUGGCGAUGAGCGCCUGGGCCUC